AAAUCGGUCCUUUUCAGGACCACAAAAAGUACUCAAUGAGAUUAGAU
Drosophila ficusphila is the source of this 47-nucleotide non-coding RNA. Lineage: Eukaryota; Metazoa; Arthropoda; Insecta; Diptera; Drosophilidae. The record is from Rfam.